Molecule: ribosomal RNA, 447 nt
Filed under: uncultured bacterium
Lineage: Bacteria
Description: bacterial SSU rRNA
Rfam family: Bacterial small subunit ribosomal RNA
Source: RNAcentral
UGCCAGACUCCUACGGGAGGCAGCAGUGGGGGAUAUUGCACAAUGGGGGGAACCCUGAUGCAGCGACGCCGCGUGGGUGAAGGAGUGCUUCGGCAUGUAAAGCCCUAUCGGCAGGGAAGAAGCAAGACGGUACCUGACUAAGAAGCCCCGGCUAACUACGUGCCAGCAGCCGCGGGAAUACGUAGGGGGCAAGCGUUAUCCGGAUUUACUGGGUGUAAAGGGAGCGUAGACGGCAGUGCAAGUCCGGAGUGAAAGCCCGGGGCUCAACCCUGGGACUGCUCUGGAAACUGUAAAGCUGGAGUGCGGGAGGGGCAGGCGGAAUUCCUGGUGUAGCGGUGAAAUGCGUAGAUAUCAGGAGAAACACCGGCGGCGAAGGCGGCCUGCUGGACCGUAACUGACGUUGAGGCUCGAAAGCGUGGGGAGCAAACAGGAUUAGAUACCCCCGUA